UCCUCCAGGUCCCCACGCAACAAUGAGGCGUGGGCGGCCCCAGCGGCCUCAUUUGCAUACCGCCGCGGCUCGGCCAAUGGGCUGCGCAGGGGCUGCGGAGCGCAGUGUUGCCAUCUGCGUGCGCGCGUGUGUGCGAGUGUGACAGCGGCUGUGGCCGUGGCCGUGGCCGUGGGAGGCGGGCCCGGCGGAGCCCAGCCGCGCGGGACCGGCCCGGCGCCCGCUCCUCAGCGCGUCGCGGCCGCGUGGCCGGCAGAGCCCCGAGACCACCCGGCCCGGCCGGUGGCGGCCGCGAUGUCGGUGGCCGGGCUGAAGAAGCAGUUCCACAAAGCCAGCCAGCUAUUUAGUGAAAAAAUAAGUGGUGCUGAAGGAACGAAACUAGACGACGAGUUUCUGGACAUGGAAAGGAAAAUAGAUGUUACCAAUAAAGCUGUUGCAGAAAUUCUCUCAAAAACCACCGAAUAUCUUCAGCCAAAUCCAGCAUACAGAGCUAAGCUAGGAAUGCUGAACACCGUGUCGAAGAUCCGAGGGCAGGUGAAGACCACCGGGUACCCGCAGACGGAAGGCUUGCUGGGGGACUGCAUGCUGAAGUACGGGAAGGAGCUCGGGGAAGAGUCCACCUUCGGCAACGCACUGAUAGAAGUUGGCGAGUCCCUGAAGCUGAUGGGCGAGGUGAAGGACUCUCUUGAUAUCAACGUGAAGCAAACUUUCAUUGAUCCACUUCAGUUACUGCAAGAUAAAGAUUUAAAAGAGAUUGGGCACCACCUGAAAAAGCUGGAAGGCCGCCGCCUGGAUUACGAUUAUAAAAAGAAGCGAGUAGGUAAGAUACCAGAUGAAGAAGUCAGACAAGCGGUAGAAAAAUUUGAAGAGUCAAAGGAGUUGGCUGAAAGAAGCAUGUUUAAUUUUUUAGAAAAUGAUGUAGAACAAGUCAGCCAGUUGGCCGUGUUUAUAGAGGCAGCACUAGACUAUCACAGACAGACCACGGAGAUCCUGCAGGAGCUUCAGAGCAGGCUGCAGAUGCGAAUAUCGGCUGCCUCCAGUGUCCCCAGACGAGAGUACAAGCCGAGGCCCAUGAAAAGGAGCUCGAGUGAACUCAGUGGAGUUCCCGCCACCUCUGCCGCAGCAAAAACGACAGCCUACUGCAGACUGGAGCCAGCAGAUUAGAAAGGCCCGGGGACUGCUUCGGGAAGGCCCACUGACAGCGGGAAAAGGUGACAGGUCGCAGCCCGACUACAAGGGAGGCAAGAGAAAAACUAUAAAAAGCAGGAACAAAAACUCAAAAGGCACAGCAGUCUGGGGCAUUUACUAAAAGACAAAGAGCCCUCCUCAGGUUCUAACGUUCCCAUGGACCAGCCCUGCUGCCGUGGUCUCUAUGACUUUGAGCCAGAAAACCAAGGAGAAUUAGGAUUUAAAGAAGGGGACAUCAUUACGUUAACCAAUCAGAUAGAUGAAAACUGGUAUGAAGGAAUGAUACACGGGGAGUCUGGAUUCUUCCCCAUUAACUAUGUUGAAGUGAUCGUGCCUUUACCUCAGUAAACGUGUAACAAAAACUGUGGACAUCCUUUCAUAACUGAAACGAAUUCACGCCGGUGUUCCCUCAGUGUGUUCUGUGACGUCCUUGCUCUCUGACCAACUUAAUGACUUUUGUAUGUGUGUUCUCUUUAUAAUGUAUUUUGUAUCGAUUUAAUUUGUAUAAAUGAUGUUCUUGCCCUAGCUACAUGAAAAUAUAGUUUUCUUUUUUGCUUAUUCUCCUAAAAGUCAUUGGUUAAAUGUAUGUGCUUCCUGUUGCUAAAAAUAAACCACACCCACUGCAGUUAUGAUGUCAGCCAGUUGCCUAUAUUCCUCGGCUGCAGUGGAAUGCAAAGUCUGAAACUAAGAAAUGCUCAAUAUUUUGUUUCUUGACAUUACUGAUGGCAUCUGGUCUUUUCCCUUCAUUGUAUUUUGAGCUUACCUGUGAAUAGCCCCAAUAAACAUGACACUGUGUUGGCAAAA
RNA transcript from Propithecus coquereli (Coquerel's sifaka), 1989 nucleotides. It is a transcript of the gene named SH3-domain GRB2-like 3, with no coding region annotated. Lineage: Eukaryota; Metazoa; Chordata; Mammalia; Primates; Indriidae. The record is from RefSeq and is a predicted model, not a curated record. The transcript is spliced from 10 exons.